GUUCCCGCGGGCGCGGUCGGUUUGUCCCCGGAGGUGGCUGCUGGGCGGUCACGUAGGUUACACACAGUCACUCUGUCGGCGGAGCCCGCAGGCCGCUGUGCCAUCCCUGCCGCGGCUCCCCGAGCCGGGACCACCAUGGCGCGGGUCGGCGGCUGGAGGCUCAGCUGACUGCAGGCGCGAGGUACCGAGGCGAGCCCGAGCCAGCGGGCACAGAGCCAGCUCUGCCGGUCCAUCUCCAGCCGGCAAACUCUGCCUGCCAAACCCAGGGCCCUCUGCGGGAAUGUUCAAAAAUGAGUACCAGGGAGGCGCAUUUGUUGAAAUUUUUAGCGCUCAGGGGAAAAAUCCUGGAGCAAAGUGGAAGAUCUUGGGCAGUCCAUCUGUGAUCUGGAAAGAGUUUGAUAAAGAAGUUAAAAGCUUUGUGUUUGUCCUGGAAGGCAGCAGCCAAACCAACAGAAUCCAGUUGCCGAAGGAGAAUAAGCAAAUCCUUGGACUGAUCCAGAGGUUUCUUGUGCUACAGAUUUACGUGCCCCUGGGACAGGACUUCUCCACCGAAUUACU
This 558-nucleotide long non-coding RNA is filed under the name Rattus norvegicus (Norway rat). RNAcentral describes it as "long non-coding RNA NONRATT010297". The record is from RNAcentral. Lineage: Eukaryota; Metazoa; Chordata; Mammalia; Rodentia; Muridae.